UGGUGGAGUGAUUUGUCUGAUUAAUUCCGAUAACGAACAAAAAUCUAGCCUGCUUAAUAGUAACUACGUAACAAUUGCGUAACCUGAUUUCUCAGAGGGAUUCGCAAUUUUUGGUGGCACAAAAAUGAGCAAUAACA
This 137-nucleotide ribosomal RNA is filed under the name uncultured eukaryote. RNAcentral describes it as "partial 18S ribosomal RNA". It matches the Rfam family "Eukaryotic small subunit ribosomal RNA", at positions 1299 to 1458 of the family's 1831-position model. The record is from RNAcentral.